Molecule: ribosomal RNA, 491 nt
Filed under: uncultured bacterium
Lineage: Bacteria
Description: partial 16S ribosomal RNA
Rfam family: Bacterial small subunit ribosomal RNA
Source: RNAcentral
AGUGAACGCUGGCGGUAGGCCUAACACAUGCAAGUCGAACGGCAGCACAGUAAGAGCUUGCUCUUACGGGUGGCGAGUGGCGGACGGGUGAGGAAUACAUCGGAAUCUACUUUUUCGUGGGGGAUAACGUAGGGAAACUUACGCUAAUACCGCAUACGACCUACGGGUGAAAGCAGGGGAUCUUCGGACCUUGCGCGAUUGAAUGAGCCGAUGUCGGAUUAGCUAGUUGGCGGGGUAAAGGCCCACCAAGGCGACGAUCCGUAGCUGGUCUGAGAGGAUGAUCGGCCACACUGGAACUGAGACACGGUCCAGACUCCUACGGGAGGCAGCGGUGGGGAAUAUUGGACAAUGGGCGCAAGCCUGAUCCAGCCAUACCGCGUGGGUGAAGAAGGCCUUCGGGUUGUAAAGCCCUUUUGUUGGGAAAGAAAAGCAGCAGGUUAAUACCCCGCUGUUCGGACGGUACCCAAAGAAUAAGCACCGGCUAACUGCGU